GUUGGAUAGCACAGUGGUUAGUGCUCCAGGAUUAUAUUCGCAAGGUCGCUAGUUCAAGUCUAGUGGAUGACA
Non-coding RNA from Gigaspora rosea, 72 nucleotides. The record is from the annotation of a GenBank genome assembly. NCBI's taxonomy places the organism in Eukaryota, Fungi, Glomeromycota, Glomeromycetes, Diversisporales, Gigasporaceae.